This is a long non-coding RNA of Mizuhopecten yessoensis (Yesso scallop), 176 nucleotides long. RefSeq lists it as uncharacterized. NCBI's taxonomy places the organism in Eukaryota, Metazoa, Mollusca, Bivalvia, Pectinida, Pectinidae. The record is from RefSeq and is a predicted model, not a curated record. The transcript has 3 exons.
CAACUUUAACAGCAUGCCACGACCAAAGCUGUAUUACUUCUGUUCACGUCACACUUGGGCAUCCUUACAAAACCUGAUGGAUCAUUGAACUUGAGCUAGAACAGCCGUCAUCAGAUUAGAACAGUAAAACUUGUACAUAUGACCAGGGCUUACAAUGCUGCCGUUUUGGUUUUGCG